GUACAAACAUGUUGAAUCACAAAGCUUCUCCAAUGAAGGGGCUGUGGUGAGGGGUUCAAUCUGUUCGUCCAAUAAUAGUUUUGCAAUUAAUCUGAUGACUAAGAAGGAUCCCUUCAUUAUAACCUCUCAUUACAGUCUCUCGAGUUCAAUCUUUAGAUUUUACACGUGUAAUGUUCUAGAGGCAUUGACUCUUUGUGUACGGUCGUUUUGGAUCAACAACAGAUGACACUAUAUGAGCAUCAUAGAGGCACUAAUUGUGG
Molecule: long non-coding RNA, 260 nt
Filed under: Prunus dulcis (almond)
Lineage: Eukaryota; Viridiplantae; Streptophyta; Magnoliopsida; Rosales; Rosaceae
Description: sRNA ncRNA
Source: RNAcentral